GACGAACGCUGGCGGCGUGCUUAACACAUGCAAGUCGAACGGAAAGGCCCUGCUUUUGUGGGGUGCUCGAGUGGCGAACGGGUGAGUAACACGUGAGUAACCUGCCCUUGACUUUGGGUUAACUUCAGGAAACUGGGGCUAAUACCGGAUAGGAGCUCCUGCUGCAUGGUGGGGGUUGGAAAGUUUCGGCGGUUGGGGAUGGACUCGCGGCUUAUCAGCUUGUUGGUGGGGUAGUGGCUUACCAAGGCUUUGACGGGUAGCCGGCCUGAGAGGGUGACCGGCCACAUUGGGACUGAGAUACGGCCCAGACUCCUACGGGAGGCAUCAGGGGGGAAUAUUGCACAAUGGGCGGAAGCCUGAUGCAGCAACGCCGCGUGCGGGAUGACGGCCUUCGGGUUGUAAACCGCUUUCGCCUGUGACGAAGCGUGAGUGACGGUAAUGGGUAAAGAAGCACCGGCUAACUACGUG
RNAcentral lists this ribosomal RNA (468 nucleotides) under uncultured bacterium. Its description in RNAcentral is "partial 16S ribosomal RNA". It matches the Rfam family "Bacterial small subunit ribosomal RNA", at positions 28 to 507 of the family's 1533-position model. The record is from RNAcentral.